GCCCCUGCGCGCCGCCCGCGCCCCCGCCGGGAGCUCCGGCCGCUCUCCGGCCGCCCGGGGCGCGGGCACCGCGGACCCGCUUUGUCUGCUCCGCAACGUGGAGCUCGGGCCCCGCCGGGGCUGCAGGAGCUCCCCGGGGCGCGGGGGCGCGGGGGCGCGGGGGCGCAGUCCGACCCUCGAUGCGCUCCCCGGAGACUUCGAAAAUGCACGUAUGGAAGGAUGAUGGAGACGGCGAGGGAAGCCUGCUUCCCGGCCUGGGGCACAGCCUUCCCUGGGCUGCCCGCGCCCGACGGGCCUGCGCCCUCCGCACCGCGCCUUGGACCGUGCGCCCCUGCUCUUUCACCAACUCCGUGUGUCGCUCAGCUUGCGUCUGGGCCCAGCUUAAAUGAAUGCGGUUGAUAGACUUGCUCCCGGAGGCUGGAGGGCAUUUAAGGAGGGCUUCCACAGCACCCAGGAAUCAUUGAAAACGUGCAUUUCCUGGCCCUGACCCCUGGAAAGACCUAGAAACUUGGAUGGAUCCAGUGGCAAGGAGCACCACCAGUGUUCAAGCUGUGUUCUCUCCUGGAAGAAAGGGCUGACUUCAGAUCUGGGGAAAACCUGUGCAAGAUAAGCCUGAAGCAUCUAUCUCGCUGUGCUGGAAAGCGAGGAAGCGGCCAGUGGCUGCUGAGCCAUGGCAGGACCCAGGAGUGCACCGAAAAAUGCCUCCACAGGCCAAAGAUGGUGCAAGGUAAGCAUCAUUCAGAGCAAAACUACAACAAUGGAGACACAUCAGAGGGUUAAAAAAAAUCCAUGAGUUUAUAAUGUUAAUCAAAUAAAAAAAAAUUUCCUGGUCAUCUUAGGCUGAUGAUGGGAAGUUGAGUCAUGAUUCUGAAAAUUGGUAAGUAAAGGGAAAGAGUCAAGCACAUAACCAGCCUUUCUUACCAAAUUAUACUUCAAAGUAACAGAAGAGUUGAGGAAAUGUCUUGCUCCGCAGAUGUACUCCAGAUAAUAAAUGAGGGCGGAAUGGUGGGAUUACAUCACCAUUUUGCAAACCUCAUCCGUGCUAACUAACAUGAGGGAUUCCUACCAAAUCACCAGCCUCUGGACUUGGCAGCCAGUCCCAGGAAAUCCAGCACGUACUACUUGGACAAGUUAAAUGGUGCCAUGCGGAUGCAAUCAGACCUGACUCUCCUGUUCUCAGAACCCCAAAAGGGCUCGUUUCACUUUUUGUAAAGGCCUGUCCUUACCGUAUUCUGGAAGGCUGUCCAGCCUGGCAGUGAGAGUGCCCUGCCACUGCUCUGACGCCCCGUCCUGGGGCUCGGGCUCACUCCACCCCGUCACUCGGGCCGCUCGCAGCUCCUCCCCACACAGCGCACGGGCUCAUGGACUGUCUGCCCUGGGACAGGGCAAUACUGGAUCCCCACUAUUUGCCAGUGUUUUCUUUGUGACUGGAACUAUCUCCGGAGAAGAAUUCUUCUACCUCCUGACCUGGAGCGUAGACUUUCCCCUCCAGGGUCCCAGCACCCAGGGUGGGGAAGAGGCCUAGGAGGAGCUCUCACCAUGCAGGAUGUGGAUGUCCACACAUUCUCCCUGUUUUCAGUAUAGG
This is a long non-coding RNA of Nyctereutes procyonoides (raccoon dog), 1585 nucleotides long. RefSeq lists it as uncharacterized. NCBI's taxonomy places the organism in Eukaryota, Metazoa, Chordata, Mammalia, Carnivora, Canidae. The transcript has 4 exons. The record is from RefSeq and is a predicted model, not a curated record.